AUUUGAAAGCGUUUACUCUGGAGGAACUAUGGACACACCUGAUUCUGGAAGAGUUUUCCAGUACUGGCAUUGUUGUGGCUCUGAAGAUCCUUUUGAUCCAGGGUGCACUGCAGCACCUCAUUCUUCUUAUGAUGAAUAGGGUGGAACCGGCCUUAAUUUUCAACGGGGGCAAAUUUAUAAGUAACUGUUGGUGUUGCCUCAAAUUAGGCUCAACCCUUCACUACAAGAAAAUGGAUCAUCAUUUCUUGUAAUUGAUUAAUUUGCAAAAAAAAAAAUCAAAAUGAUGUAAUUGAUUAAUCAUACAAUUUCUACAAAAUAUAUAUUAGAUUUGCAUUGAAUUUGGUUCGACUCCUA
Long non-coding RNA from Dendrobium catenatum, 354 nucleotides. RefSeq lists it as uncharacterized. Lineage: Eukaryota; Viridiplantae; Streptophyta; Magnoliopsida; Asparagales; Orchidaceae. The transcript is spliced from 2 exons. The record is from RefSeq and is a predicted model, not a curated record.